This 227-nucleotide ribosomal RNA is filed under the name uncultured bacterium. RNAcentral describes it as "partial 16S ribosomal RNA". It matches the Rfam family "Bacterial small subunit ribosomal RNA", at positions 355 to 598 of the family's 1533-position model. The record is from RNAcentral.
UGGGGAAUAUUGGACAAUGGGGGCAACCCUGAUCCAGCAAUGCCGCGUGUGUGAAGAAGGUUUUCGGAUUGUAAAGCACUUUCGACGGGGACGAUGAUGACGGUACCCGUAGAAGAAGCCCCGGCUAACUUCGUGCCAGCAGCCGCGGUAAUACGAAGGGGGCCUAGCGUUGCUCGGAAUGACUGGGCGUAAAGGGCGUGUAGGCGGUUUGUACAGUCAGAUGUGAA